GGCGGCGUGCCUAAUACAUGCAAGUAGAACGCUGAAGGAGGAGCUUGCUCUUCUGGAUGAGUUGCGAACGGGUGAGUAACGCGUAGGUAACCUGCCUGGUAGCGGGGGAUAACUAUUGGAAACGAUAGCUAAUACCGCAUAACAUUGACUAUUGCAUGAUAGUCAAUUGAAGGGUGCAAAUGCACCACUACCAGAUGGACCUGCGUUGUAUUAGCUAGCUGGUGGGGUAACGGCUCACCAAGGCAACGAUACAUAGCCGACCUGAGAGGGUGAUCGGCCACACUGGGACUGAGACACGGCCCAGACUCCUACGGGAGGCAGCAGUAGGGAAUCUUCGGCAAUGGACGGAAGUCUGACCGAGCAACGCCGCGUGAGUGAAGAAGGUUUUCGGAUCGUAAAGCUCUGUUGUAAGAGAAGAACGAGUGUGAGAGUGGAAAGUUCACACUGUGACG
This 452-nucleotide ribosomal RNA is filed under the name Streptococcus cristatus. RNAcentral describes it as "bacterial SSU rRNA". It matches the Rfam family "Bacterial small subunit ribosomal RNA", at positions 38 to 474 of the family's 1533-position model. The record is from RNAcentral. Lineage: Bacteria; Bacillati; Bacillota; Bacilli; Lactobacillales; Streptococcaceae.